GACGAACGCUGGCGGCGUGCCUAAUACAUGCAAGUAGAACGCUGAAGAGAGGAGCUUGCUCUUCUUGGAUGAGUUGCGAACGGGUGAGUAACGCGUAGGUAACCUGCCUUGUAGCGGGGGAUAACUAUUGGAAACGAUAGCUAAUACCGCAUAACAAUGGAUGACACAUGUCAUUUAUUUGAAAGGGGCAAUUGCUCCACUACAAGAUGGACCUGCGUUGUAUUAGCUAGUAGGUGAGGUAAUGGCUCACCUAGGCGACGAUACAUAGCCGACCUGAGAGGGUGAUCGGCCACACUGGGACUGAGACACGGCCCAGACUCCUACGGGAGGCAGCAGUAGGGAAUCUUCGGCAAUGGGGGCAACCCUGACCGAGCAACGCCGCGUGAGUGAAGAGGGUUUUCGGAUCGUAAAGUUCUGUUGUAAGUCAAGAACGGGUGUGAGAGUGGAAAGUUCACACUGUGACGGUAGCUUACCAGAAAGGGACGGCUAACUACGUG
Molecule: ribosomal RNA, 497 nt
Filed under: uncultured bacterium
Lineage: Bacteria
Description: partial 16S ribosomal RNA
Rfam family: Bacterial small subunit ribosomal RNA
Source: RNAcentral